This 253-nucleotide ribosomal RNA is filed under the name uncultured bacterium. RNAcentral describes it as "partial 16S ribosomal RNA". It matches the Rfam family "Bacterial small subunit ribosomal RNA", at positions 524 to 776 of the family's 1533-position model. The record is from RNAcentral.
UACGAAGGGUGCAAGCGUUACUCGGAAUUACUGGGCGUAAAGCGUGUGUAGGCGGCUAUGUAAGUCGGAUGUGAAAGCCCCGGGCUCAACCCGGGAAGUGCACUCGAUACUGCGUAGCUUGAGUCUCGGAGAGGUUGGUGGAAUUCUCGGUGUAGAGGUGAAAUUCGUAGAUAUCGAGAGGAACACCGGUGGCGAAGGCGGCCAACUGGACGAAGACUGACGCUGAGACACGAAAGCGUGGGGAGCAAACAGG